AUUGAACGCUGGCGGCAGGCCUAACACAUGCAAGUCGAGCGGAUGAAGGGAGCUUGCUCCUGGAUUCAGCGGCGGACGGGUGAGUAAUGCCUAGGAAUCUGCCUGGUAGUAGGGGAUAACGUCCGGAAACGGGCGCUAAUACCGCAUACGUCCUGCGGGAGAAAGUGGGGGAUCUUCGGACCUCACGCUAUCAGAUGAGCCUAGGUCGGAUUAGCUAGUUGGUGGGGUAAAGGCCUACCAAGGCGACGAUCCGUAACUGGUCUGCGAGGAUGAUCAGUCACACUGGAACUGAGACACGGUCCAGACUCCUACGGGAGGCAGCAGUGGGGAAUAUUAGACAAUGGGCGAAAGCCUGAUCCAGCCAUGCCGCGUGUGUGAAGAAGGUCUUCGGAUUGUAAAGCACUUUAAGUUGGGAGGAAGGGCAGUAAGUUAAGACCUUGCUGUUUUGACGGUACCAACAGAAUAAGCACCGGCUAACUUCGUG
RNAcentral lists this ribosomal RNA (484 nucleotides) under uncultured bacterium. RNAcentral describes it as "partial 16S ribosomal RNA". It matches the Rfam family "Bacterial small subunit ribosomal RNA", at positions 30 to 507 of the family's 1533-position model. The record is from RNAcentral.